Molecule: ribosomal RNA, 440 nt
Filed under: uncultured bacterium
Lineage: Bacteria
Description: partial 16S ribosomal RNA
Rfam family: Bacterial small subunit ribosomal RNA
Source: RNAcentral
CCUACGGGCGGCAGCAGUGGGGGAUAUUGCACAAUGGGGGAAACCCUGAUGCAGCGACGCCGCGUGAGUGAAGAAGUAUUUCGGUAUGUAAAGCUCUAUCAGCAGGGAAGUAAACGACAGUACCUGACCAAGAAGCCCCGGCUAACUACGUGCCAGCAGCCGCGGUAAUACGUAGGGGGCAAGCGUUAUCCGGAUUUACUGGGUGUAAAGGGAGCGUAGACGGUUUGGUAAGUCUGGAGUGAAAGGCCGGGGCCCAACCCCGGAACUGCUUUGGAAACUGUGUAACUGGAGUACAGGAGGGGCAGGCGGAAUUCCUGGUGUAGCGGUGAAAUGCGUAGAUAUCAGGAAGAACACCGACGGCGAAGGCAGCCUACUAGACUAAAACUGACGUUGAGGCUCGAAAGCGUGGGGAGCAAACAGGAUUAGAUACCCGAGUAGUC